GACGAACGCUGGCGGCGUGCUUAACACAUGCAAGUCGAACGGAAAGGCCCUGCUUUUUUGGGGUUCUCGCGUGGCGAACGGGUGAGGAACACGUGAGUAACCUUCCCUUGACUUUGGGAUAACUUCAGGCAACUGGUGCUACUACCGGCUAGGAGCUCCUGCUGCAUGGUGGGGGUUGGAACGUUUCGGCGGUUGGGGCUGGACUCGCGGCUUAUCAGCUUGUUGGUGGGGUAGUGGCCUACCAAGGCUUUGACGGGUAGCCGGCCUGAGAGGGUGAACGGCCACAUGGGGACUGAGAGACGGCCCAGACUGCUACGGGAGGCAGCAGUGGGGAAUAUUGCACAAUGGGCGGAAGCGUGAUGCAGCAACGCCGCGUGCGGGAUGAAGGCCUUCGGGGUGUAAACCGCUGUCGCCUGUGACGAAGCGGGAGUGACGGUAAUGGGUAAAGAAGCACCGGCUAACUACGUG
This 468-nucleotide ribosomal RNA is filed under the name uncultured bacterium. RNAcentral's name for it is "partial 16S ribosomal RNA". It matches the Rfam family "Bacterial small subunit ribosomal RNA", at positions 28 to 507 of the family's 1533-position model. The record is from RNAcentral.